Molecule: non-coding RNA, 23 nt
Filed under: Arabidopsis thaliana (thale cress)
Lineage: Eukaryota; Viridiplantae; Streptophyta; Magnoliopsida; Brassicales; Brassicaceae
Source: RNAcentral
AUCUACAGAUCUCAAUCUUUGCC